Molecule: long non-coding RNA, 1786 nt
Organism: Cydia fagiglandana
Lineage: Eukaryota; Metazoa; Arthropoda; Insecta; Lepidoptera; Tortricidae
Exons: 3
Source: RefSeq, a predicted model, not a curated record
GGCGUCCAUGGUGGACGCGUAUUAUUGGGCUGUACAUUCCUGGGUUGAGCAUUCUCGGGCCGCGCAAUAUUGGUCCGGGGCGAUAAUACGAAGCCACUCUUUUCACAGGGCAAUAAUGUACGACCCCAUAAUUCGCGUCCAAUAAUUUGAGUCCCUUGGCUUUCAAUUAUUGGGCUGCGCAUUAUUGGUACAGGUCGAGAAAGCCCGACCCAAUAAUGUACGACCCAAUAAUAGGAAGCCAAAAACCAGAGAGAUUCUUUUUUUUAAGGGAGCUGUCAAAAUUAGUAGGGACGUUCUGACAUUAGCUCUUGACAAUUUAAAAAUAAUCGGUUUUUUCUAGUGCCAUCUUUCAGUGACAUUGACAGUAUUGUAUUGACACUUGUUGGUUUACAAAUACAAUAAAAUGAAUUCUAAUAAAAGAAACAGUAGACUCAGUAGAGGUACGAGGUACUGAAAAAAUAUUAAUUAAUGGAGAAGCCGAAGUUGGAGGAAAACAAGAAGAUUCGAUGAGAAUGGUGUGGCACUUAAUGCCGCCGGGACAGUAACCUAGCUGCAGCUCCAACUCUAGGGAAUUGGGCUGAAUGAACGCAACACGUGAUCGACAGCCCACCUGCUUCCUGCCGAGCGUCCCUACACUACAUCUACAUGGAUUCGCUUAUUCUGCUCUACAAAACUUCUGAGCUGAUACAAGCAGCCAGAAUGAGUCUCUGCUGAGUCGCCGGCGCCGGACGUGCGUCGCGCGCCUCGGGCGACUGACGUCUUCGUGUGAGUCGCCAAUUGCAGGGGAAGAUACGAAUAGUUAGGUAUAAAAGCUACUUUUUCACGCCACUGUUCGGAAAUGUGGCAAUAGAUGGUCUAAAACCAAGCUGGAAAGUAGGCAAUAGCUGUAGCACCUGAAGCACCACUACUACAAUGUUUCAUUGUUGUCAUCAUCUGUCAUUGGUGACAGUUCGCUACAGCAAUGAGUAUCAUUUAAAACAUAAAAAUCAAUAAAAGGUCUUUUUUUGCGCAACUUUUUCCUUCAAAAAUAAAAUUAGGUUAUUUAUAGCACCAAUUUCUUGUUUAAAAAAAAAAGAAAUAUCAAAACCAUUCACUUCAUUUUUUUUUUAACAAUUAUCCAUUCAGUUCACGCUUAAGGCGUUUUUUACUUUUGUAGCUGUUUGUGGUUUUAUUAGCAAAAACGCUUCUAAUUUACAGUCGGUUUGAAGCAAAUAACAGAAAAACGCCUCUUAAAAGUGGUAAAAAAAGUAAAAAAAGGCGGGAUCUGAAAAUACCUACUGAAUUGGAUAGUGUAAAUUAUGUUUGACUAAAAAAUAUAAGAAACGCGUAUCUACGCUCGCUAUAAAAAUGAGUUCUUCUAGUGAAGAAAAUUAUAUUCUUACGCCUACCGAAAUUCAAGAGACAGUACAGGCAGUGGCUAGUAAUUUGCUACCAGAGAAAUCGCGGGCUAGUACUUAUAGUUAUGCAAAUGUUUUCUUAUUUCCUCGCAGUAGUCGUGAAAAGAACUAUGUAAUGCCUCGGCCGGAAACGCUAAAGAUGGACUCGUAUUAUUCGAGGACCUCCACUAACGUGUCGGCCCUCGAACUCACUCGUCCAUCUUUUAGCGAUUUUCCGUCCUCUCCUACAAUGUACUAUAGUCAACCUCGCCUCAGUACUGUUUGUAUUGACUGAAAUACAAGUAGCAUAUAUGAGACGUUCGGACGUAUCCGUGAAAAUACGAAGGUAAAGGAAAUUGCACUACAUUUUUAGAACCUAUUCACCUGUCAGUAAAAUAUUGAAAAGGAAA